RNAcentral lists this small nuclear RNA (109 nucleotides) under Hucho hucho (huchen). Its description in RNAcentral is "U5 spliceosomal RNA (ENSHHUG00000029016.1)". It matches the Rfam family "U5 spliceosomal RNA". Rfam says of the family: U5 RNA is a component of both types of known spliceosome. The record is from RNAcentral. Lineage: Eukaryota; Metazoa; Chordata; Actinopteri; Salmoniformes; Salmonidae.
ACACUCUGGUGUCUCUUCAAAGCUUGUAUGUCUUUUGCCUAUUACUAAAGAUUUCCUUGGGGACGAACGUGAAGAGUAUUAACAUUUUUUUUCAUCCUUCUCAUGAUCC